This 253-nucleotide ribosomal RNA is filed under the name uncultured bacterium. RNAcentral's name for it is "partial 16S ribosomal RNA". It matches the Rfam family "Bacterial small subunit ribosomal RNA", at positions 524 to 776 of the family's 1533-position model. The record is from RNAcentral.
AACGUAGGACGCAAGCGUUAUCCGGAGUUACUGGGCGUAAAGCGCAGGUAGGCGGUUCGGUAAGUCUCUUGUGAAAGCUCCCGGCUCAACUGGGAGAGGUCAAGGGAAACUGCCGGGCUAGAGUGUGGCAGAGGAAGCUGGAAUUCCCGGUGUAGCGGUGAAAUGCGUAGAGAUCGGGAGGAAUACCUAUGGCGAAAGCAGGCUUCUGGGCCAUCACUGACACUGAUCUGCGAAAGCUAGGGGAGCAAACAGG